Non-coding RNA from Oryza sativa Japonica Group (Japanese rice), 658 nucleotides. The record is from RefSeq and is a predicted model, not a curated record. Lineage: Eukaryota; Viridiplantae; Streptophyta; Magnoliopsida; Poales; Poaceae.
UGGGGAGUCGGCCCGGAAGUUGAUUGUCUUGAUGCUGAUGAUGAACUGAACAGAGCACCAUACACUGAUUGAUUAUUUUUUUCUGGACUGAACAGAGCACCAUAAAUUGCUGACACCACAAAAUAGUUGCAUAGACUCUGCACCUGUAAUCUGAAUGAUCUCACAUCGAAGACCCUCAAAACGAAAAUCACAUAUCUAUCAGUGAUUUUUUCCCAACUUUUUUCUAUUAAGAUACCCUUCGUACAAAACUACAACCAGAUGGUUCUGCACUUCUACUACAACCUUGUUCAUCUAUUGCACUAGCCAAAUACUACUACUACUCUAUCUACCCGUGUUAUUGUGAAAAUGAAGGAAUAAACAGUGCAAAAAUCUGUUCAGCAUCAAGUGCAGAAACUACUCACAAAGAAAACUUUCUUUUCUGCACGGCAUAAGUCCGCGACUUUCUUGAACAAUUCGCAAUCGGCGGGUUCCCUCCGGAAGAGGGCAUCAGAACAGAACAUUUGUUUAGUAGGCAUUCGUUUAUUCUGUUCUUGGUUUCUUCAGCAAUCAGUGCGACAGCGAGGCGAAGCGAUGGAGCAAACUGACACUGCUACUGCGACAGGUUGCACAUGCCGGGGUGGAGCGAGCACCAGAGCGGCUGGAUGGGCUCGGCGCGGAU